Molecule: long non-coding RNA, 526 nt
Filed under: Heterocephalus glaber (naked mole-rat)
Lineage: Eukaryota; Metazoa; Chordata; Mammalia; Rodentia; Bathyergidae
Description: lncRNA (ENSHGLG00100042589.1)
Source: RNAcentral
UGGACAACUGAGCCUGGGAGAGGGGAGUGGAACUGAAAAUAAAGAAAGCAGGGACCCGUGGUGUCUGAGCUGGUGUGGGUUCAUUUUUGAUCAUGUGACACACAACAGUUGUCAUGCUGCCCCUUCUAUGGACCAAGAACCUGUGGCUCAGAGAGGUAUUGUAAAUGAUCAAGACACAGCCUCGAUUGCUGAAGGCGCAAAGUCAUGGCCCCUCCAAGGUCAUUCAAGUGUGCCCAGGACAUACUCACUGAGGAGACAACAUCUGACCAAAGACCCAUGAGAGUGAAGCAACACCCCGAUCUGGAAGAAGAGUGUUCUAGGCAAAACAGCCAGUGCAAAGGGCUUGGGGUCAGAAACAUGCCUGGCUUGUGGCUGGGGUGGGGAAGUAGCUGCCUAGUGUGCACAGUGGUACCUUGUCCUCAGCAACAGUGCCCUACCAGGGCCACAUGGUAUCUGGUUUGAGCCCCCUACCCCCCCCCCCGCUGUGAACAGGAAUCAUUCCCUAUGGUUGGCACUCCCAUUCUCC